RNAcentral lists this ribosomal RNA (200 nucleotides) under uncultured Desulfobulbus sp. RNAcentral describes it as "partial 16S ribosomal RNA". It matches the Rfam family "Bacterial small subunit ribosomal RNA", at positions 1183 to 1382 of the family's 1533-position model. The record is from RNAcentral. Lineage: Bacteria; Pseudomonadati; Thermodesulfobacteriota; Desulfobulbia; Desulfobulbales; Desulfobulbaceae.
CGUCAAGUCCUCAUGGCCUUUAUGGCCAGGGCUACACACGUACUACAAUGGCCGGUACAAAGGGCAGCGACAUUGCGAGAUGGAGCGAAUCCCGAAAAGCCGGUCUCAGUCCGGAUUGGAGUCUGCAACUCGACUCCAUGAAGUUGGAAUCGCUAGUAAUCGUGGAUCAGCAUGCCACGGUGAAUACGUUCCCGGGCCUU